RNAcentral lists this ribosomal RNA (468 nucleotides) under uncultured bacterium. Its description in RNAcentral is "partial 16S ribosomal RNA". It matches the Rfam family "Bacterial small subunit ribosomal RNA", at positions 28 to 507 of the family's 1533-position model. The record is from RNAcentral.
GACGAACGCUGGCGGCGUGCUUAACACAUGCAAGUCGAACGGAAAGGCCCUGCUUUUGUGGGGUGCUCGAGUGGCGAACGGGUGAGUAACACGUGAGUAACCUGCCCUUGUCUUUGGGAUAACUUCAGGAAACUGGGGCUAAUACCGGAUAGGAGCUCCUGCUGCAUGGUGGGGGUUGGAAAGUUUCGGCGGUUGGGGAUGGACUCGCGGCUUAUCAGCUUGUUGGUGGGGUAGUGGCUUACCAAGGCUUUGACGGGUAGCCGGCCUGAGAGGGUGACCGGCCACAUUGGGACUGAGAUACGGCCCAGACUCCUACGGGAGGCAGCAGUGGGGAAUAUUGCACAAUGGGCGGAAGCCUGAUGCAGCAACGCCGCGUGCGGGAUGACGGCCUUCGGGUUGUAAACCGCUUUCGCCUGUGACGAAGCGGGAGUGACGGUAAUGGGUAAAGAAGCACCGGCUAACUACGUG